GCCAAAUCUGGUGCUGGCACAAGCAUACUUCAAAUAUGUGAUAGGAGGGACCUUGGGAUGACUGUGCCAAUGGUCACAGAAGUUGUAUCAACCACUUCUGGUAACUUUAAAGUCCCGAGGAGUUACUCAAUGACCACCAUUGUCUUUUUUCAGGUUAUUUUGGGUGUAAACAUUACUGUCCUGGAAAAAGAGAUUGAGAUGCAUAAAGAAAUCGAGGCAAAUCUCACUUCAGAAAUCACGCUACACCAAGAGUGUUCGGUGUAGAAGGAAACAAACACUGAUCCAAGAAUACAUCUGAGUGAUCAUGGGUGAGAACCAAUGAGAAAAUUGAAAUACCAGCGUUCACAGCGCUUGGUAAGGGAUUUGUUCCCCUCAGGAGAGACCAGCAGCACUCCGGUGUUAGGAUACCCCAGGACAUCCAAAAAGUUACCAUUGGCCCCUGAAGAGCAAGAAACGAGCAAGGAAAAUAGCGGAAGGCCCUGGGCACAUAUCCACAAAUCAUCUCAGAAACAUGUUUUAAGAGAAAAAAACUCCCAGUUCAGAGUAGGUUUUCAUAAAGGCUUAUCUCAACUGGUAAUCACAACAGUUUGAGGUACCGCAGAAAAGAUAGUGAUGACGCUCAUUAGCAUUGUUGCAAAUUAUGGGAAUAACCAAUCGCAAUGAGAAACCGCAACCUGUAAACUCUAUAGCACAAUUUAGACAACAACACUCUUAGGAAAAAAAGGGUUCCAAAAUGGUUCUACCUAGACCCUUUAACAGAACCGUUUUUGGAAGAUUGUUAUUUUGUAAGGCAAAGGGUUCUACCUAGACCUUUUAACAUCCUAAGAACCGUUUUUGGAAGAAAUGGCUCUUUGAUGAUUCUUUGGAAGGCAAGAAAGAUUCUUUGGAAGGCAAGAAGGGUUUUACAUACUGUAGAACCUUAUAAUAAUAUUUCCCAGCAUGCUCUAUUGCAAGGAAAUUUUCAUAACUGUUUGUUUUACUGUAAUAUGUGUUUUUCCAUGUACAUUGAUUGGUUGAUUACUUUUCUGCUACAGGAAGAUAAAUAACAUACACUUUUCUAAACUAAUCCAAUUAGAUAGUAAUUUGAUUUAUUGGACUCGUUACGGAGAUAGUUGUUCCUGCUUAGAUGACUGAGGUAGUCUCAGUAUUCAAACUACCGUACCCUGGCAGUUAUGAAUGCAGGUGAUUUUAACAAUUCCACUUGUUGGAUAUCCUAACGCUGUCUGGAUUCCAAUAGGAAUUACGCAUCACUUUGCAAGCCAGCAUAAUUUGACCUGCAGACCUAUUGUGGCCUGUUAACCAGGUGUUUCCCUAACACCUGUGGUAAAUUCAAUUGAUUGGACAUAAUUUGGAAAGGCAUACACCUGUCUAUAUAAGGUCACAC
Long non-coding RNA from Oncorhynchus gorbuscha (pink salmon), 1384 nucleotides. RefSeq lists it as uncharacterized. NCBI's taxonomy places the organism in Eukaryota, Metazoa, Chordata, Actinopteri, Salmoniformes, Salmonidae. The transcript has 3 exons. The record is from RefSeq and is a predicted model, not a curated record.